UUUCUUCUCUUUUUAUUUUUUAAUUUUUUUUAGAGACGGGUCUCACUGUGUUGCUCAGGCUGGUCUUGAACUCCUGGGCUCAAGCGAUCCUCCCACCUCGGGUUCCCAAAGUGCUGGGAUGACAGGCGUGAGCCCCAGGCCCAGCUGAGUUUGCCACUUUCUAAAUGAGGCUGUGUGCUAUGCAGUAUUAAGAGUUUCCAUCCCUUUGAUUUUUCACUGGGAAAAUCUAGAAAUUGUGAGCUCUGGGGAUGAGGUGAACUUGGCAUGGAGCUCCGCCAGCCCCUACAGGAGGCACGCAGAUGCCAGACUCGGCUUCCCGUGCCUGUGCAGACACAAAGCUGUGGUUCACGGGGAGCUGCUUUUCACGCGUUUGCGCCUUCAAACGUGGAGAGUGUUGUUAGCUCGGAUUUAUUCAUUCUCGAACAAAUAUCUAUUAAACAUCCCCCAAGCUGAGGAAACUGAGAUUCAAGGAGUUGGGAGACCUCACCCACAGUCACGUGGAUCCUAACUGGCUGAGAUGAGUUUUGGGCUCCUGCUGGGCUGUUGGGACCCAGAGGUCGGCGACAAGGUCACCCAGGUCUCAGGUCGGUCCCUGUACCUUUAUCUCAUCCCCCUCCUCUGCAUUCCUGAAACCCUUCCCAGGACAGCUCCCCUGCCCACCCCGCCCUUGACCUCACCUUUUCCAUGAGGGACUCCACAGCAUGGCGGGUCACCCAGCAGCGGCCCCCGGACACCUCUCCCUCCUGGAUGAUGUCCCCUCUCUGGCUCCAGGCCUCAUACUCCUCCUGGCUCAAGUACUCUACAGGUGACAUUGGACGGGGCCAUCAUAGACCAGCUGUGUGGGGGUCUGGGGGAGUCCCAUGGUAAACACCCCUGUCCCCGUGAACCCUGCCAGCACUGGGAGAAGCUCUUCUUAGGAUGUCCACUUUACAAACCUGACCCUGCACACCCCGCUCUGUGCCCUGCACCUCCAUCCUGAACUAUCUGGACACAGCAGUGCCUCCUGCCACCCUGCCAGCACCGAGCCCCUCUUCCAGCCCACCCCAGUGGGGUCCAGGCCCCUCCCUGGAGCCUCACCUUGCGGGUCACGGUGCACUGCUGAGUCAUGUCCUGGAUGAGGGCUAUGAGCUGCUGCUGAGCCCUGCAGAGACCAGCAGAGGCCCUGACCCAGCUGCCUCCUGCCAGACAGGCAGCAGAAGCCGUCCACCCUCCUGAGAAGCCCCACGGCCUCCUCCAGGGUCGUGUCCUCCAGGACUGCCUUGAACAAGGGCUCUGAGGCUUCGUAAUCAACCUGAGGGCAAGUCGAGAAGGUCAGUCUCUUUCCCCCGGGACUCUGAAUCCAGCCAGAAGACAGAAGGCGCUGAGGGCACUGAGGCGAGGCGCGGGCCAGCCCUGCCGUAGGACCACUGCCUGCACGCCUUGGUCAAAACAAAGCCACACACCAGAGCCUCUGUGGGGCCUUCACACCUCUAGUGAUGCGUGCUACACAUAGUGCUGGCCAGAGAGUCAACUGCCAACCCUUCCCCAGUCGAGAUCGGGGGUUCUUUGUGAUAAGCACUUUCCUGUCUUGAAAAAGAAAAGAAAAGAAAAGAAAGAACCUCGGUUCUAGAACAUUCAAGAGCAUUCUAGAUAGAGGUUUCUUAGCCUUGGGAUCAUUCUGUGCUGCUGCGGGCUAUACCGGGCCCUACAGGAUGCUGAGUGGCAUCCCUGGCCUUCACCUACCCGAUGCCCUGGCUCUCCACCCACAGCCUUCCCCACUGUGAAGGCCCACCCCCCAGGGCUUCCACCAUCCACUUCAUUUCUUCUCAAUAUUGUUCUAAGCUUAGGAGAGUAGAUAUUUUUACAAUAAAAAUUAAGAUGUGUUUUAACACCAUUAGAAUCUAAUUGGCCCCCUUAGGAUAUCGGGACUAUCUCCCUGAACAUCGUCAAGGGGCUCUGUUGCUUGAACUACCUCAGAGCUGAUAAUUGGGAACCUUAAGAGCAGGGUUCCCCAACCCCUGGGCCACAUACUGGUACUGGUCCAUGGUCCAUCAGGACCCGGGUCACACAGCAGGAGGGGCGUGGUGGGCAAGUGAGCAUUACGGCCUCAGCUCCACCUCCUGUCAGCUCAGCACAGCAGUAGAUUCUCAGAGGAGCAUGAGCCCUAUCGUGAACUGUGCAAGUGAGGGAUCUAGGUUUCACGCUCCUUAUGAGAAUCUAAUUCCUGAUGAUCUGUUACCGUCUCCCAUCACCCCCAGAUGGGACCGUCUAGUUGCAGGAAAACAAGCUCAGGGCUCCCACUGAUUCUGAAUUAUGGUUCAGUGUAUGAUUCUUUCAUUACAUAUUACAGUGUAAUAAUAAUAGAAAUAAA
RNAcentral lists this long non-coding RNA (2350 nucleotides) under Homo sapiens (human). Its description in RNAcentral is "non-protein coding lnc-SGSH-1:6". The record is from RNAcentral. Lineage: Eukaryota; Metazoa; Chordata; Mammalia; Primates; Hominidae.